This is a long non-coding RNA of Mobula hypostoma (lesser devil ray), 382 nucleotides long. RefSeq lists it as uncharacterized. The transcript has 3 exons. The record is from RefSeq and is a predicted model, not a curated record. NCBI's taxonomy places the organism in Eukaryota, Metazoa, Chordata, Chondrichthyes, Myliobatiformes, Myliobatidae.
UGAAAAGAUGGUGACGCAGACUCUGUUGUGGAAAAAGGAAUCUGCGGUGAUGUACUAAAGAGAAAAAAAAUUGAUUUAAUCUUUACUGAGGAAAGUCACAUGUAAAAAUUGCAGCUAAAGGGCUCACUGGAAACUUCAUUAUACAACCAUACAUCUCAAAAAAGUGAAAUAAAAGUGUGUUUGGGUAUUAACAAGAGCAAAAUUCAAUAGUGUGGAGAAGCUGCUAAUCCAGCAGAGUCCCAAGAGUCUUACAGAUUCCCUAAGCAAAGAAAUAAGCCCAGCAGAAAGUCAGAUUAUUUCUUUUACAAUAUAUCAAGCAGCAAAAUAUAAGGAACUAACCUCUGGUCGACGUUCAAGUGCUUCCUUCAUCAAUGGAUGCAAC